GCGGGCGUCGUCCAGCGGUAGGACAUCAGCUUCCCAAGCUGAGGGUCGCGGGUUCGAAUCCCGUCGCCCGCUCCA
This 75-nucleotide transfer RNA is filed under the name Deltaproteobacteria bacterium. Its description in RNAcentral is "tRNA-Gly". It matches the Rfam family "tRNA". From Rfam's summary of the family: Transfer RNA (tRNA) molecules are approximately 80 nucleotides in length. Their secondary structure includes four short double-helical elements and three loops (D, anti-codon, and T loops). Further hydrogen bonds mediate the characteristic L-shaped molecular structure. tRNAs have two regions of fundamental functional importance: the anti-codon, which is responsible for specific mRNA codon recognition, and the 3' end, to which the tRNAs corresponding amino acid is attached (by aminoacyl-tRNA synthetases). tRNAs cope with the degeneracy of the genetic code in two manners: having more than one tRNA (with a specific anti-codon) for a particular amino acid; and 'wobble' base-pairing, i.e. permitting non-standard base-pairing at the 3rd anti-codon position. Lineage: Bacteria; Pseudomonadati; Myxococcota; Myxococcia. The record is from RNAcentral.